This 231-nucleotide ribosomal RNA is filed under the name uncultured bacterium. RNAcentral describes it as "partial 16S ribosomal RNA". It matches the Rfam family "Bacterial small subunit ribosomal RNA", at positions 57 to 305 of the family's 1533-position model. The record is from RNAcentral.
GCAAGUCGAACGAUGAAGCAGAGCUUGCUCUGUGGAUUAGUGGCGCACGGGUGCGUAACACGUGGGAAUCUACCCUUUAGUAAGGAACAACAGUUGGAAACGACUGCUAAUACCUUAUAUGGCUUCGGCUGAAAGAUUUAUCGCUAAAGGAUGAGCCCGCGGUGGAUUAGCUUGUUGGUAAGGUAAUGGCUUACCAAGGCGACGAUCCCUAGCUGGUCUUAGAGGAUGACC